This 329-nucleotide unclassified non-coding RNA is filed under the name soil metagenome. Its description in RNAcentral is "partial contains 5.8S ribosomal RNA, internal transcribed spacer 2, and large subunit ribosomal RNA". The stretch from base 1 to 120 matches the Rfam family "5.8S ribosomal RNA", at positions 35 to 154 of the family's 154-position model. The record is from RNAcentral.
GAUGAAGAACGUAGCGAAAUGCGAUACGUAAUGUGAAUUGCAGAAUUCAGUGAAUCAUCGAGUCUUUGAACGCACAUUGCGCCCCCUGGUAUUCCGGGGGGCAUGCCUGUUCGAGCGUCAUUACAACCCUCAAGCUCUGCUUGGUAUUGGGCCCCGCCAGUUCUGGCGGGCCCUAAAGUCAGUGGCGGUGCCUUCCGGCUCCGAGCGUAGUAAUUCUUCUCGCUCUGGAGACCCGGUUGUGUGCUUGCCAACAACCCCCAAUUUUUUAAGGUUGACCUCGGAUCAGGUAGGGAUACCCGCUGAACUUAAGCAUAUCAAUAAGCGGAGGA